AUUGAACGCUGGCGGCAUGCCUUACACAUGCGAGUCGAACGGCAGCACGGGUGCUUGCACCUGGUGGCGAGUGGCGAACGGGUGGGUAAUACAUCGGAACAUGUCCUGUAGUGGGGGAUAGCCCGGCGAAAGCCGGAUUAAUACCGCAUACGAUCUACGGAUGAAAGCGGGGGACCUUCGGGCCUCGCGCUAUAGGGUUGGCCGAUGGCUGAUUAGCUAGUUGGUGGGGUAAAGGCCUACCAAGGCGACGAUCAGUAGCUGGUCUGAGAGGACGACCAGCCACACUGGGACUGAGACACGGCCCAGACUCCUACGGGAGGCAGCAGUGGGGAAUUUUGGACAAUGGGCGAAAGCCUGAUCCAGCAAUGCCGCGUGUGUGAAGAAGGCCUUCGGGUUGUAAAGCACUUUUGUCCGGAAAGAAAUCCUUGGCCCUAAUACGGUCGGGGGAUGACGGUACCGGAAGAAUAAGCACCGGCUAACUACGUG
RNAcentral lists this ribosomal RNA (486 nucleotides) under uncultured bacterium. RNAcentral's name for it is "partial 16S ribosomal RNA". It matches the Rfam family "Bacterial small subunit ribosomal RNA", at positions 30 to 507 of the family's 1533-position model. The record is from RNAcentral.